Molecule: long non-coding RNA, 330 nt
Organism: Clupea harengus (Atlantic herring)
Lineage: Eukaryota; Metazoa; Chordata; Actinopteri; Clupeiformes; Clupeidae
Source: Ensembl
UUAGUUAGUACGUUAGUUAAGAGAAAUCACAUUACGAUAUUAAUGCCUUUAAAAGGUGAAAAUGACUAUAAAAGAAGAUCAGAAGAUUUCCUUUGAAAGAAUGCAGCCAACGAGAUGCUCCGUCCUGGACCACAGAACUACACAGUGCAUAACCUGGGCGUCUAGCAGGAAUUGCAGAAAGAAAAAGAAGCAGGCAGGAGAGGAACUUCCGUGUGGACUGGAUGUCUUGGGAUCCAAGACGGGUGGCCUAAUGAGGCCUUCCUGGUUCCUCCUCAGCGCCUUUUCUCCCACGGGCUCUUCCGAUGAUGCACUCGCAGGAUUAUGGGAGAC